CAUCUGGCCCUGUCCACCUGUGGAUGGCUUCAAGAAAGAAGAAAUUAACACCUCCCCUCCCCGAGGCUGGUCAUUCCAGGUGAUAUUUGCAAAACUUAUGGAAUUUUUACUUUACUUCCUCAUCUCCUCCCCCUCUCUGUGCCAUAAAAGAAACUGGCAUCCAAACCCUGAUAAGAUGGUUAUUUUGAGACUUUAAUCUGCCAUCUUCUCGAUCCUAAAGUCGUAUUCCGUGCCUCGACACCUGCGAGCUUGGACUCGGUAACGAAAGGAGAAACCAUGGAUCACACAGAGGUGGGGGAAGCAUGCAGCUAGACCAGAGGAAGAACUGGCAUUUGGGCUCCAUCUCUCUGCAGACCAGUGUUCUCCACUGCUCAUGCUGCCUGGCAGUUUCAUUAAGUUCAGCAAAGACAGUUCUAGUCCAGCACUUGAUGGCAAAACCCGUUUCCCAAGCUGCGGAGGGGAUGGCUUGGGGCUACCAGAUGUCAUAGCAGAGAGCUGUAACCACAGAGAAUCCUGAGCCCAGAAGUGGGAGGGGGUGUCAAAGAAGGAGCCAGGGAUAGCUGCUCAGAGGAGAUGACUCCAGAGCUGGAUCUUGGCGUGUGAAGUUUGGGGCAGAGCCAGGUGGAGACAGAAGGCACAGUCAUCCAGGGGAGCAGACAUGGAGGAGGGCCCCAGAGGCUAAGUGUGAAGGAAAUGGUGGUUUCCAAGAAUAAGGAAAGUCAGCGUCCUAAGUGAACAGCGAGGGCACGGAGACGCCUGGAGAGAGAAGCAGAGGUCCCCUGUGGCUGGAGAGACCGCACACAGCUCUCCCCUCCAGGCUCAGUGCAGGGAGAGCAGACCCGGCCGCCUCUGAAUCCACUCCUGCCAAGACCCUGCCGACCUCUGUGGGCAUCCCUAGCCCUCAUCUUCCUGCUCCCUGUGAUGUGUGGUCCUCUUGUGCCCACUGUGACACCAGGCGCUCCGGGCCUGGCAGCCCCUCCUUUGUGCCUGGCAGGAGGCUUAACCUCCUGCAACCAGCCUCCAAAUGGCGUGGUCCUGAAGGCACGUGGCCGAGCCCUCUGCCCCAUGCUUCUGCACGGCCGACUCCCAGGCAGCCCUGUUUCUCCUCUGAGCUCCGGCCAGCCACUCUCCUGCUAAGCCUGCACCUCCACCACCAAGCCUGGCCAGAACCCUGGGGGCUUCUGGCCAAGUCCUGCCAAUGUUAUCCCUAAAUACCUCACUUCCACUCCUCACUGUCUCCUACCUCCCUCUCCCUGUGACCUGGUGCCUCAGGGUCCGUCCUCCUAACCGCUUCUCAAAAUGCAGAUAUAAUGGCUCUCUUGCUCGCCAGCUUUGACAGGCUGAGUGAUCUGCCAGCCAGAGAGGGUGGGACCUGCAUGACCGCCACCCAUCCAUCCAUUCAUUCAGCAGCCACAGGGGUGUGUAGGGGAGCAGGGCGGGGAUUUGAAGCCAGGGCACUUGGACAAGCCAGGCUCCGCCACGUGCUACAGAGGGAC
Molecule: RNA transcript, 1496 nt
Organism: Physeter macrocephalus (sperm whale)
Lineage: Eukaryota; Metazoa; Chordata; Mammalia; Artiodactyla; Physeteridae
Gene: RAMP3
Gene name: receptor activity modifying protein 3
Exons: 2
Source: RefSeq, a predicted model, not a curated record